Molecule: ribosomal RNA, 486 nt
Filed under: uncultured bacterium
Lineage: Bacteria
Description: partial 16S ribosomal RNA
Rfam family: Bacterial small subunit ribosomal RNA
Source: RNAcentral
AUUGAACGCUGGCGACAUGCCUUACACAUGCAAGUCGAACGGCAGCACGGGUGCUUGCACCUGGUGGCGAGUGGCGAACGGGUGAGUAAUACAUCGGAACAUGUCCUGUAGUGGGGGAUAGCCCGGCGAAAGCCGGAUUAAUACCGCAUACGAUCUACGGAUGAAAGCGGGGGACCUUCGGGCCUCGCGCUAUAGAGUUGGCCGAUGGCUGAUUAGCUAGUUGGUGGGGUAAAGGCCUACCAAGGCGACGAUCAGUAGCUGGUCUGAGAGGACGACCAGUCACACUGGGACUGAGACACGGCCCAGACUCCUACGGGAGGCAGCAGUGGGGAAUUUUGGACAAUGGGCGAAAGCCUGAUCCAGCAAUGCCGCGUGUGUGAAGAAGGCCUUCGGGUUGUAAAGCACUUUUGUCCGGAAAGAAAUCCUUGGCCCUAAUACGGUCGGGGGAUGACGGUACCGGAAGAAUAAGCACCGGCUAACUACGUG